UGGCGGAAAAUCUGUCAGUAAACCCUUCAGUAAUGUAUCUUACAAUAUUGACGGAUUUUAUUCAUCGGUAAAUCCUUCAGUAAUUACCGAAGGAUACAUUCUGUCAGUAAAUCCAUUGGUAAAAAGAGCGGCAAAAUUCUCGCCUUUUUUUUUUCUCUCUCUCUGCAUGAAGAAGACUAUAUUUCUCUCUCUCACAAAUGAGUUUCAUCAUUUUUUCUUUCCUCUCAUCUCAAAAGCAUUUCUCACAUUCUCUAUAACCUUUUUUCUCUCUUGUGCAACCAUCUCCCACACUGCCACCACUGCCGUUAGAGAGCCUUACCCCUGCCGUUGGAGAGCGCCACCCCUACUAUUUGAGAGCAC
This 360-nucleotide long non-coding RNA is filed under the name Vigna radiata. Its description in RNAcentral is "long non-coding RNA (VRAD_LNC005196)". The record is from RNAcentral. Lineage: Eukaryota; Viridiplantae; Streptophyta; Magnoliopsida; Fabales; Fabaceae.